AGUGAACGCUGGCGGCAGGCCUAACACAUGCAAGUCGAGCGGCAGCGCGGGGGCAACCCUGGCGGCGAGCGGCGGACGGGUGAGGAAUUCGUCGGAAUCUGCCUUUUUGUGGGGGAUAACGUAGGGAAACUUACGCUAAUACCGCAUACGUCCUACGGGAGAAAGAGGGGGACCGCAAGGCCUCACGCAGAAAGAUGAGCCGACGACCGAUUAGCUAGUUGGUGGGGUAAAGGCCCACCAAGGCGACGAUCGGUAGCUGGUCUGAGAGGAUGAUCAGCCACACUGGGACUGAGACACGGCCCAGACUCCUACGGGAGGCAGCAGUGGGGAAUAUUGGACAAUGGGCGCAAGCCUGAUCCAGCCAUGCCGCGUGUGUGAAGAAGGCCUUCGGGUUGUAAAGCACUUUUGUCCGGAAAGAAAUCCCUGGAGCUAAUACCUUCGGGGGAUGACGGUACCGGAAGAAUAAGCACCGGCUAACUUCGUG
RNAcentral lists this ribosomal RNA (484 nucleotides) under uncultured bacterium. RNAcentral's name for it is "partial 16S ribosomal RNA". It matches the Rfam family "Bacterial small subunit ribosomal RNA", at positions 29 to 507 of the family's 1533-position model. The record is from RNAcentral.